This 485-nucleotide ribosomal RNA is filed under the name uncultured bacterium. RNAcentral describes it as "bacterial SSU rRNA". It matches the Rfam family "Bacterial small subunit ribosomal RNA", at positions 28 to 509 of the family's 1533-position model. The record is from RNAcentral.
GAUGAACGCUAGCGGCAGGCUUAAUACAUGCAAGUCGAGGGGCAGCACGAAUAGCAAUAUUUGGUGGCGACCGGCGCACGGGUGCGUAACACGUAUACAACCUACCUAUAACAGGGGGAUAGCCUUUCGAAAGAGAGAUUAAUACCCCGUAAUAAAUUGAGUGGCAUCACUUGAUUUUGAAAGCUACGGCGGUUAUAGAUGGGUAUGCGUCUGAUUAGCUAGUUGGUGAGGUAACGGCUCACCAAGGCGACGAUCAGUAGGGGAUCUGAGAGGACUAACCCCCACACUGGUACUGAGACACGGACCAGACUCCUACGGGAGGCAGCAGUAAGGAAUAUUGGUCAAUGGAGGCAACUCUGAACCAGCCAUGCCGCGUGCAGGAUGACGGCCCUAUGGGUUGUAAACUGCUUUUGUACCAGAGAAAACCUACUCACGUGUGAGUAGCUGAUAGUAUGGUAAGAAUAAGCAUCGGCUAACUUCGUGCC